AAGUCGUAACAAGGUAACCGUAGGUGAACCUGCGGUUGGAUCAUUAAAAAAUCAAAAGCCUGUCAUCGAGUACCCCUUUGUCAAGGGCAAAGCUGGAGAAAAAUGAAUGUUGGCACCACAUCUUGUGAACCGUAUUUGUCUUUGGUGGUUGGGCGGUUUGCUUGUUUCAAGCUUCCGUCUGUCAGCUUGUGCUUUACAGCGCAAGCCGUGGACAAGCCACCGUCUGUUUGUUCAAACCUAAUUGUCUUCUUUUUUCUUGUCUAACAUUUUUUUUGUAUAAAUAUACAAACAACUUUUGGCAACGGAUCUCUUGGUUCUC
Molecule: unclassified non-coding RNA, 319 nt
Filed under: Spizellomyces dolichospermus
Lineage: Eukaryota; Fungi; Chytridiomycota; Chytridiomycetes; Spizellomycetales; Spizellomycetaceae
Description: partial internal transcribed spacer region
Rfam family: Eukaryotic small subunit ribosomal RNA (bases 1-46)
Source: RNAcentral